UAAUACGUAGGUGGCGAGCGUUGUCCGGAAUCAUUGGGCGUAAAGCGCAUGUAGGCGGGAAUAUAAGUCUGUUGUGAAAAUGCGGGGCUCAACCCCGUAUGGCAAUGGAAACUGUAUUUCUUGAGUGCAGGAGAGGAAAGGGGAAUUCCCAGUGUAGCGGUGAAAUGCGUAGAUAUUGGGAGGAACACCAGUGGCGAAGGCGCCUUUCUGGACUGUGUCUGACGCUGAGAUGCGAAAGCCAGGGGAGCAAACGGG
This 255-nucleotide ribosomal RNA is filed under the name uncultured bacterium. RNAcentral's name for it is "partial 16S ribosomal RNA". It matches the Rfam family "Bacterial small subunit ribosomal RNA", at positions 521 to 776 of the family's 1533-position model. The record is from RNAcentral.